RNAcentral lists this ribosomal RNA (253 nucleotides) under uncultured bacterium. Its description in RNAcentral is "partial 16S ribosomal RNA". It matches the Rfam family "Bacterial small subunit ribosomal RNA", at positions 524 to 776 of the family's 1533-position model. The record is from RNAcentral.
UACGGAGGGAGCUAGCGUUGUUCGGAAAUACUGGGCGUAAAGCGCACGUAGGCGGCGCAGCAAGUCAGGGGUGAAAUCCCGGAGCUCAACUUCGGAACUGCCUUUGAUACUGGCAAUCUAGAGUCCGGAAGAGGUUAGUGGAAUUCCCAGUGUAGAGGUGAAAUUCGUAGAUAUUGGGAAGAACACCAGUGGCGAAGGCGGCUAACUGGUCCGGUACUGACGCUGAGGUGCGAAAGCGUGGGGAGCAAACAGG